This 864-nucleotide ribosomal RNA is filed under the name Escherichia coli. RNAcentral's name for it is "partial 23S ribosomal RNA". It matches the Rfam family "Bacterial large subunit ribosomal RNA", at positions 365 to 1230 of the family's 2925-position model. The record is from RNAcentral. Lineage: Bacteria; Pseudomonadati; Pseudomonadota; Gammaproteobacteria; Enterobacterales; Enterobacteriaceae.
UGACAGCCCCGUACACAAAAAUGCACAUGCUGUGAGCUCGAUGAGUAGGGCGGGACACGUGGUAUCCUGUCUGAAUAUGGGGGGACCAUCCUCCAAGGCUAAAUACUCCUGACUGACCGAUAGUGAACCAGUACCGUGAGGGAAAGGCGAAAAGAACCCCGGCGAGGGGAGUGAAAAAGAACCUGAAACCGUGUACGUACAAGCAGUGGGAGCACAGAGCAAUCUGUGUGACUGCGUACCUUUUGUAUAAUGGGUCAGCGACUUAUAUUCUGUAGCAAGGUUAACCGAAUAGGGGAGCCGAAGGGAAACCGAGUCUUAACUGGGCGUUAAGUUGCAGGGUAUAGACCCGAAACCCGGUGAUCUAGCCAUGGGCAGGUUGAAGGUUGGGUAACACUAACUGGAGGACCGAACCGACUAAUGUUGAAAAAUUAGCGGAUGACUUGUGGCUGGGGGUGAAAGGCCAAUCAAACCGGGAGAUAGCUGGUUCUCCCCGAAAGCUAUUUAGGUAGCGCCUCGUGAAUUCAUCUCCGGGGGUAGAGCACUGUUUCGGCAAGGGGGUCAUCCCGACUUACCAACCCGAUGCAAACUGCGAAUACCGGAGAAUGUUAUCACGGGAGACACACGGCGGGUGCUAACGUCCGUCGUGAAGAGGGAAACAACCCAGACCGCCAGCUAAGGUCCCAAAGUCAUGGUUAAGUGGGAAACGAUGUGGGAAGGCCCAGACAGCCAGGAUGUUGGCUUAGAAGCAGCCAUCAUUUAAAGAAAGCGUAAUAGCUCACUGGUCGAGUCGGCCUGCGCGGAAGAUGUAACGGGGCUAAACCAUGCACCGAAGCUGCGGCAGCGACGCUUAUGCGUUGUUGGGUA